GCCUGGCUGGCUCAGUUGGUAGAGCAUGUGACUCUCGAUCUCAGGGUUAUGAGUUCAAGCCCCACAUCGGGCA
Molecule: transfer RNA, 73 nt
Filed under: Felis catus (domestic cat)
Lineage: Eukaryota; Metazoa; Chordata; Mammalia; Carnivora; Felidae
Also listed under: 4 other names
Rfam family: tRNA
About the family: Transfer RNA (tRNA) molecules are approximately 80 nucleotides in length. Their secondary structure includes four short double-helical elements and three loops (D, anti-codon, and T loops).
Source: Rfam by way of RNAcentral